CAAAGAACCAGAGAUAUGAAGUUGCUCGAUUGCCCCCCAGGCCUUUUUAUGUGACCUUUAUUUGAAAGAAAUGUCAGGAAAAACAACAACAAAUCCGCAAACAUGAAAGAAUGCAACAGCAGGAAUAGAGAAAGGUGAAAAGAGGAAUAUCUGCACUGUGACACUGUACCUAGAAAUUCUAGGGUGCAAAACACAGCCUCACACUGCGAAAAGCAGAUCAUCAAAGCAGACUUGCUAAAUCACCUUCCACUGUGCAAGUGAGAAAGAAGCAAGAUGAAAUGGUGGUAGAGAUCCCAGUCUUACCUCAACAUGGAGCUAGACCACAGUGCACAAAAACAUGAAGUCAUG
This 348-nucleotide long non-coding RNA is filed under the name Phasianus colchicus (ring-necked pheasant). RNAcentral's name for it is "lncRNA (ENSPCLG00000015552.1)". The record is from RNAcentral. Lineage: Eukaryota; Metazoa; Chordata; Aves; Galliformes; Phasianidae.